AUUCUCCUGCCUCAGCCUCCGGAGCAGCUGGGACUGCUGGCGCCCGCCACCACGCCCGGCUAAUUUUUUUGUGUUUUUAGUAGAGACGGGCUUUCACCGUGUUGGCCUAGCUGUUCUCAAACUCCUGACCUCAUGAUCCCCCCGCCUCAGCCUCCCAAAGUGCUGGGAUUACAAGCGUGAGCCACGGCGCCCCGCCAACACUCUUGACAACAGUGCUGUUCUAAGAACUUGGGGGACUUCAAAAAGUUCACCACUUCCUGUGUCCAUGGGUGAAAAGAUUUUCUACAUCUUUCCUUGACUAGAAACAGAAGUCCUGAAACAAGCAUUUUAAAAAGGUUGUACAUCUAGCAAUACCUAACAAAAUAGGAAAUCAACUUGGAAAGCCAAUGGCUGUGUUUUGAGUUUAUGGAGAGCCAUAUGUGGCAAGGAACUGAGGGUGGCAUCCAGGCAACAGACUUCAAGAAACUGAGGCUGUCAGUCCGACAACCCACAAGAACUGAAUCUGACCAACAAUCACAGGAACAAACUUUGAAGUAUACUCUUUCCCAGACAAACCUUCAGAUGAGACCACAGCCCCAGCCAUAAGCUUGAAAACAAUCUCAUGAGGGACCUUGAGCCACAGGCAUGUAGUAAAGCUAUGCCAGGAAUCCUGCCUGCCCCACAGAAAAUGUAAAAAAAAUAAAUUUUUGUUGUUUUAA
This is a long non-coding RNA of Gorilla gorilla gorilla (western lowland gorilla), 698 nucleotides long. RefSeq lists it as uncharacterized. The transcript is spliced from 4 exons. The record is from RefSeq and is a predicted model, not a curated record. NCBI's taxonomy places the organism in Eukaryota, Metazoa, Chordata, Mammalia, Primates, Hominidae.